This 440-nucleotide ribosomal RNA is filed under the name uncultured bacterium. RNAcentral's name for it is "partial 16S ribosomal RNA". It matches the Rfam family "Bacterial small subunit ribosomal RNA", at positions 338 to 795 of the family's 1533-position model. The record is from RNAcentral.
CCUACGGGUGGCAGCAGUAGGGAAUAUUGCUCAAUGGGGGAAACCCUGAUGCAGCAACGCCGCGUGGGUGAAGAAGGUUUUCGGAUUGUAAAGCCCUUUUGUGAGAGAAGAAAAUGACGGUACCUGAGUAAUAAGCACCGGCUAACUCCGUGCCAGCAGCCGCGGUAAUACGUAGGGUGCAAGCGUUAUCCGGAUUUACUGGGGGUAAAGUGAGCGGAGGCGGGCUUUCAAGUCUGAUGUGAAAGGCUGUGGCUUAACCGCAGAACUGCACUGGAAACUGUGAGUCGAGAGUGCAGGAGAGGUAAGUGGAAUUCCUGGUGUAGGGGUGAAAUGCGUAGAUAUUAGGAGGAACACUAGUGGCGAAGGCGGCUUACUGGAACGUAACUGACGCUGAUGCUCGAAAGCGUGGGGAGCAAACAGGAUUAGAUACCCGAGUAGUC